GAAAUUGAACUCGCUGUGAAGAUGCAGUGUACCCGCGGCAAGACGGAAAGACCCCGUGAACCUUUACUAUAGCUUGACACUGAACAUUGAGCCUUGAUGUGUAGGAUAGGUGGGAGGCUUUGAAGUGUGGACGCCAGUCUGCAUGGAGCCGACCUUGAAAUACCACCCUUUAAUGUUUGAUGUUCUAACGUUGGCCCGUUAUCCGGGUUGCGGACAGUGUCUGGUGGGUAGUUUGACUGGGGCGGUCUCCUCCUAAAGAGUAACGGAGGAGCACGAAGGUUGGCUAAUCCUGGUCGGACAUCAGGAGGUUAGUGCAAUGGCAUAAGCCAGCUUGACUGCGAGCGUGACGGCGCGAGCAGGUGCGAAAGCAGGUCAUAGUGAUCCGGUGGUUCUGAAUGGAAGGGCCAUCGCUCAACGGAUAAAAGGUACUCCGGGGAUAACAGGCUGAUACCGCCCAAGAGUUCAUAUCGACGGCGGUGUUUGGCACCUCGAUGUCGGCUCAUCACAUCCUGGGGCUGAAGUAGGUCCCAAGGGUAUGGCUGUUCGCCAUUUAAAGUGGUACGCGAGCUGGGUUUAGAACGUCGUGAGACAGUUCGGUCCCUAUCUGCCGUGGGCGCUGGAGAACUGAGGGGGGCUGCUCCUAGUACGAGAGGACCGGAGUGGACGCAUCACUGGUGUUCGGGUUGUCAUGCCAAUGGCACUGCCCGGUAGCUAAAUGCGGAAGAGAUAAGUGCUGAAAGCAUCUAAGCACGAAACUUGCCCCGAGAUGAGUUCUCCCUGACUCCCUGAGAGUCCUGAAGGAACGUUGAAGACGACGACGUUGAUAGGCCGGGUGUGUAAGCGCAGCGAUGCGUUGAGCUAACCGGUACUAAUGAACCGUGAGG
Molecule: ribosomal RNA, 884 nt
Filed under: Escherichia coli
Lineage: Bacteria; Pseudomonadati; Pseudomonadota; Gammaproteobacteria; Enterobacterales; Enterobacteriaceae
Description: partial 23S ribosomal RNA
Rfam family: Bacterial large subunit ribosomal RNA
Source: RNAcentral